AGCCGGGGCAGGUUUUUCGGUCGCAAGUAGGAAGCUUUUUGCACUACACCGGAGACCGGGAGCCACGGAUCCCGCCGCACAGCCCGCAGCGCCCGCACCGCCGCCGCGCCCGCCCCAGCCCGUCCGGCCCCUGGCGGGCGCGAUGAACCCGCGCCUGAGCCUCAGCCGGCCCGCCGGGCACUGAGCGCGGGCGCCCAGGGCGCGUUGCGCAGCUGCUCCUGCGCACAACCCCGCUGCCGCCGGCCCGCACCGGCCGCCCGGAGCGAGAGGCUGGUCCGUGCACUGCGCCCGGCGCCGGCCGCGGAGCAGGAAGCGCAGGCCACGCAGGGACCCAACUGGAACAAAGUGUCUGCCGCCGGGUGCCGCGCCCCGACCCCGCCGCGCCCCUGCGCCGCCCACCAUGGCCUCCGAGGAGCUGUACGAGGUACUCCCCUCCCCCCGGCGGCGCCCCCGGCCCGCGGGCCUCCGUGCCCGGUUUGCUGGACGGGAAGCGUGCGCCAGCCCCCGGAGCGAGCGGCGGCCGGAGGGGCCGACGGGCGGGGGCGCCGGAGUUGCCGGGCCGGGCGGGGGGAAGUGGCGCUGACACGAGCGACUUGCUCAGACUCAGCCCAAAGUGCUGCUGGCGAGGGGAGCCCGUGCCUGAGCGCGGCAGGGUCCGUGGGCGGCGCGGGGGUGCUUUUCCUGCCCGUUUGGUCGAGCCGGGUGGACAGGGUGUCGCCUCACGGGGGGCCCGUGCGGCUGUCUCCACUCGGGUACUAGCCAGAGAGAUGCAAAAUUUCGCACCGAAAAUGCUGAGCGUUGACCACAUGCUUUAAUUAGGUUAGCAUUGUGGCCGGAGCCAGGAAAUUGAACUUAAACGCUGAUGCGCUGUCGUCGCAGCCUUGCGAGUAGGAAAGGGUUCUAAGAGUCGAGGCGAUGAGUUAUGGGUGAUGGGUCUGCCAGCUUUAACUUCAAGUUUGAGAGUUAUCGGUCUGGAUCUUUCACGUAUUCUGAAUGUCUCCACAUAACUCCUUGACGUAUUUCAAAGUAGACUUCCUGGGAGUACAGAAGGGUAAAAGCUGUGCCUUUGGAAUACGUUGUUGGUUUCACAUAUUUGUACAUUCAUCUUUUUAAGAGGCUUAAAACUCUCCAGAUUCUAUCCAGACUCACCUUUAGGAUGCCUUUAGGAACUUGGCUGUUUAGGGAUUGAAAUGGGCAUCUGUAACUGCAGCCUUGUGUGAUCCUUCCAAGGGGGUACCGCCUUCAGUGUGUAUAGCUGCUUUCGGCAUAGACUGAAGCUUUGCUGACAACAAUGAGGCUUGUAGCAACUUUUUGAUGAGUUUUGGUUGCUUUGAAAAAAAACCAAAGGUUUACAAAAGUCCUUCGAAGGAGGCUACCUUCUAUAGACCAAGGGGAAGGCUGUUGCUUGCCCUUUAUUUGAGCUUCAGUCUACUGUACCUAUCAUUGAAAAUUGUCUCCCCCUUUCAACCAUUUUACACAUUAGCAGUGCCCUACUGUAUUCAAGAUGCUCUCUUAGGUCACUGGGGGAUAUGAAGAGAAAACUCCACUCUCCCGAGAAGCUUGGCUUCCAGGAAUGGAAGUGUCUUGAUGGGUGCCAGCACAGUAGAGGCUAGGAUGUAGAAAAGAUGUCUUACUCACCAAGUCGUGGAAAGUACAGAAAGUACUGAGUGUGAUCAAGGUGGGGAUUUACUUGUCACAUUAGAUCAUUCUUUGGUGGCUGACUCUUGUGUGUUCACUGUUGAGCUUCUUGGGGGAUUCUAAAUAUGGUUCCCAUUUGGUAUCUGGGGGAGAGGUGCACAUUAUACAUAAGUUGUAUCCUCCGUGGGUAAAGAUGACACACACUGAUUGUGUUAGGAAUUAGUAAAGUUACUUUCUGUUUAUUCUAUAGCUUCCUGUUUUCUACUCACCAUUUUUUCUGACAGAGGUCACUUAGAGAUAAAUAACAUCUUAUACCAAGUUUGUGUUCAUUCAGGGUGAUUUUGAAUGUCUGUGGUAUGGAGGCUUAGAGGUAGAGGCAUGUCAUGGGCAGUGCUCUCAAGAAGCAGCUCUUGGGGAACAGAUAGCUACAGUGCAAGUAAGUGGUGUACCUGGGCCAUGGCAGUUUCCAGUCUGGGUCUUUCCUUAGUUUGUUUUGAGGGAAAAGAUAACAUGAAGAUACGACUAAAGUGAUGAAAGCCAUUGUAGGUGUGUUCUGGUUGGUAUCUUUUAAGCUUCCUUCUAACUUCUUUACUUGAUGGAAACAUCGGGACUGUAUUACAACUAAAAGUUGAUGUUUAAGGGGUGGUGGCACAGCACUUGGGAAGCAGUGUUGUGAGUUUGGGGUCAACCUGGUCUACAGAGCCUGUUCUAGGAUAGCCAAGACUGCAAAACAAACAAACAAACAAACAAACAAAACAACAAAACCCCUCUCUGG
RNAcentral lists this long non-coding RNA (2413 nucleotides) under Mus musculus (house mouse). RNAcentral describes it as "long non-coding RNA chr13:35741464-35743877". The record is from RNAcentral. Lineage: Eukaryota; Metazoa; Chordata; Mammalia; Rodentia; Muridae.